UUUGGUUACAUUUCAGUUUUGGAAGUAAGGAGAGUGCCAAGCAGUUCUUGUUUUUUUGUUAUAUGUAUUUUUUUUUUUUUAAAUUGGGGUAGCCCCCAAAAUAUUGGGACAUAUAAAAAAAACACAACUCUGUUCCGCACAGUAGCUGUUGACAUUAUAGUUACGCAGGCAAUUUGUUGACUCUAGAGAACCUCCAGCCAAUUGCACAUCCCCGUGGCAGUGACUUUGCAUUCGGAUGUCAUCCAUAUCAACUUUCGAUGCCAGUUUCUGCGCCUGCCAUGGUGACCACAGGGAAUCAGGGUUCCAUUCCAAACAGGGACCCUGAUAAACUGCUACCACAUGCAAGGAAGGCAGCAGGCGGGCAAAUGACCCACUCCCGACGCGGGAAGGUUGUGACGACAAAUAACCAUACAGGACUCUUUAGAGGCCCUGUAAUUGUAAUGAGUCCACUUGAAAUCCUUUAACUCUGAUCAGUUGGAGGGAAGUCUGGUGCAGAACCACUGACCCGUGCAUGCUGCAGCUGAAACUCCACGA
This is a non-coding RNA of Pelobates cultripes (western spadefoot toad), 534 nucleotides long. The record is from the annotation of a GenBank genome assembly. NCBI's taxonomy places the organism in Eukaryota, Metazoa, Chordata, Amphibia, Anura, Pelobatidae.